UUGCUUACUUUAGUAGCAAGCACAUAUACUAAAAUUGUGAUAAUACAGAGAAGAUUUGCAUGGCCCCUGUGCAACAACAACACACAAAUUUGUGAAGCAUUCUAUGUUUCA
Small nuclear RNA from Nomascus leucogenys (northern white-cheeked gibbon), 111 nucleotides. NCBI's taxonomy places the organism in Eukaryota, Metazoa, Chordata, Mammalia, Primates, Hylobatidae. The record is from Ensembl.